RNAcentral lists this ribosomal RNA (381 nucleotides) under uncultured bacterium. Its description in RNAcentral is "bacterial SSU rRNA". It matches the Rfam family "Bacterial small subunit ribosomal RNA", at positions 524 to 904 of the family's 1533-position model. The record is from RNAcentral.
GACAGAGGUGGCAAGCGUUGUUCGGAAUUACUGGGCGUAAAGAGUCUGUAGGUGGUUUGUCAAGUCUUUGGUGAAAGGCCGUAGCUUAACUAUGGGAAUGCCAAAGAGACUGGCAGGCUGGAGGCUGGGAGAGGGAAGCGGAAUUUCUGGUGUAGCGGUGAAAUGCGUAGAUAUCAGAAGGAAGGCCGGUGGCGAAGGCGGCUUCCUGGAACAGUCCUGACACUGAGAGACGAAAGCGUGGGGAGCAAACAGGGAUUAGAUACCCUGGUAGUCCACGCCCUAAACGAUGGGUACUAAGUGUGGAGGGGUUAAACCCUCCGUGCCGCAGCAAACGCAGUAAGUACCCCGCCUGGGGAGUACGGCCGCAAGGUUGAAACUCAA